AUUGAACGCUGGCGGCAUGCUUUACACAUGCAAGUCGAACGGUAACAGGCCUUCGGGUGCUGACGAGUGGCGCACGGGUGAGUAAUGCAUCGGAACGUACCCAGAGGUGGGGGAUAACGCAGCGAAAGCUGUGCUAAUACCGCAUGUGAUCUGAGGAUGAAAGCGGGGGACCGAGCAGCAAUGUUUGGCCUCGCGCCUUUGGAGCGGCCGAUGUCGGAUUAGCUAGUUGGUGGGGUAAAGGCCUACCAAGGCGACGAUCCGUAGCUGGUCUGAGAGGACGACCAGCCAAACUGGGACUGAGACACGGCCCAGACGCCUACGGGAGGCAGCAGUGGGGAAUUUUGGACAAUGGGCGCAAGCCUGAUCCAGCAAUGCCGCGUGCGGGAAGAAGGCCUUCGGGUUGUAAACCGCUUUUGGCAGGAACGAAACGGUGUCCGCUAAUACCGGGCGCUAAUGACGGUACCUGCAGAAUAAGCACCGGCUAACUACGUG
Molecule: ribosomal RNA, 492 nt
Filed under: uncultured bacterium
Lineage: Bacteria
Description: partial 16S ribosomal RNA
Rfam family: Bacterial small subunit ribosomal RNA
Source: RNAcentral